This is a non-coding RNA of Paramuricea clavata, 218 nucleotides long. The record is from the annotation of a GenBank genome assembly. Lineage: Eukaryota; Metazoa; Cnidaria; Anthozoa; Malacalcyonacea; Plexauridae.
GCAAUUUAUCAUGCUUUGUCAUUCUCAGUCUGGCUUUCAUAUGAACAGCCAUUAAAAACACACAUUGACAUGACAACUAUCCUUUUCUUAAUACCAUACUGACAAGGUUUUCAAAACUCAGCCUGAGAGCAAACAUAUUUGAGCUUGUUGAACAGACUAAAUGCAUAUUUCACUGAUGUCUGAAUUUAUAAAACAUUGCAUACUUUUAUUCCAUAAAU